CUGAGUUCGGGGGCAAUCCCGGUCCCGACCUCCAACCCCUUGUGAACAUAUCUUGUUGCUUCGGGGGCGACCCUGCCGUCCGCGGCAUUCCCCCCGGAGGUCAUCAAAACACUGCAUUAUUACGUCGGAGUAAAAAGUUAAUUUAAUA
Molecule: unclassified non-coding RNA, 148 nt
Filed under: uncultured Mycosphaerellaceae
Lineage: Eukaryota; Fungi; Ascomycota; Dothideomycetes; Mycosphaerellales; Mycosphaerellaceae
Source: RNAcentral